CCCAGCAUGGUGUAGUGGUUUGAAUGUUGGACUGGGAUUCUGGAGAGCAGGGUUUGAAUCCCUGCUUUGCCA
RNAcentral lists this transfer RNA (72 nucleotides) under Phrynosoma platyrhinos (Desert horned lizard). RNAcentral describes it as "tRNA-OTHER". The stretch from base 9 to 72 matches the Rfam family "tRNA". Rfam says of the family: Transfer RNA (tRNA) molecules are approximately 80 nucleotides in length. Their secondary structure includes four short double-helical elements and three loops (D, anti-codon, and T loops). Further hydrogen bonds mediate the characteristic L-shaped molecular structure. tRNAs have two regions of fundamental functional importance: the anti-codon, which is responsible for specific mRNA codon recognition, and the 3' end, to which the tRNAs corresponding amino acid is attached (by aminoacyl-tRNA synthetases). tRNAs cope with the degeneracy of the genetic code in two manners: having more than one tRNA (with a specific anti-codon) for a particular amino acid; and 'wobble' base-pairing, i.e. permitting non-standard base-pairing at the 3rd anti-codon position. The record is from RNAcentral. Lineage: Eukaryota; Metazoa; Chordata; Lepidosauria; Squamata; Phrynosomatidae.